Molecule: unclassified non-coding RNA, 581 nt
Filed under: Hevea brasiliensis (rubber tree)
Lineage: Eukaryota; Viridiplantae; Streptophyta; Magnoliopsida; Malpighiales; Euphorbiaceae
Source: RNAcentral
GUUCAGGGGCUUGGAAGUUGUGAGGUGAGCAAUCUUCUAAUAAAAGACACAUCACCUGUUUAUAGAGAUCGAAAAAUUUUAUUUGUAAGAUUUUUUAUCAAAUAGUAAAUGCAAAGAACACUUAAGUAAAGAAAAAAAUUAUAAAUUUUGUUUUUUGUUUUUUAACUGCAAGCUUUUGCAUUACAAGGCUCACAGAGCAAAAAGACUAAAUACAAAGGAUAAAAAUUUCAAACUAUGACCCAUUAAAAAGGUCCCUUACAAACCUACCAAAUCAGUUUACUUAUACAAACCCAAGAGUUCAAACAAGGAACCCUAGGUUAGAUUGGGAUCAAAGAACACGUAAGAAAAAAAUUAUAAAAUUUGUUUGCUUAAAAGGAUUACAACAAAAAAAUGAAUCAUAAAGCAUUUUUAGGCUAGAGCAUGUGCUGUACUAGAAAUAUAUUAGACUUUUUAAUACCUAGAUUUUGAGGUUGGAUAUAUGGGUUUCUAAUACCUUCAUCAGAGUCUUCAUUAUUAUUAUUAUUAUUUAAAUUUCAACAUGAUUAUAUUAUACUCAUUGUUGUUAGAAUCUUACGAUUUGA